Molecule: unclassified non-coding RNA, 888 nt
Filed under: Hevea brasiliensis (rubber tree)
Lineage: Eukaryota; Viridiplantae; Streptophyta; Magnoliopsida; Malpighiales; Euphorbiaceae
Source: RNAcentral
AGCCUUCUUUGUAUUUGGUUGAUGUCUUCUUUCCUUUUUUUUUUCUUCUUCUUCUUCACUUCAGCAACACCACCUAAAACUACAGAUGGUUGCACUUCAUCAAUAAUGUCAAGGUCCCAUAUUUCAAUUGAAGGUUCCAUUGAACCCACAGCUACAAAAUUUCCUUUUUCUUCCCCCUUGAGUGGACAAUGAAGCCAUGCUGUACAAAGGGGGAAUGCUGACAGGACAAUAUCAUGAUGAACAUACAUGUUUGAAUCAUUAUCAACUGAUUCCUCAAAUAUCCAAACCUGCUUAUAUAUGAUAAGUACUUGAUCAGAGAAAGAGAGAGAGCAAUUUCCAACUAAAAUUUACAUGCCUCAAGGUGACUGAAUUCAUCCUCAUUACGAGCACAAACUAUGACUGCAUCCUUCGGUUUAAUGGUCAUGUCCUCAAGCUCUUCCCAAUCAUCAUCAUCUUUAUCCUUUAAAUAAGGGUCCAUAUCGUUGCUUGGAUAGUAAAGGUCCCAAAGUCCUGUGCUGAAUAGCUCAAUGCCUUCAUCCUCCUCAUCAUAAUGGUCCAUGUCAAGUUCCUUCAAGCCAUCGGUUAUGUCAUCAAAUUUGGUCACUGAGUUCUUAUUUUUAGUAGUUCCGCCAAGUGCAUCUGCUACAGCUAAUGCAUGGGUUACUUCAUCGGUCUGCUUGGCAGUAUCAACAUCCAUAUCUUCAUCGUUUUCCUCACUGCCACUAUCUCCACUUCUCUCUAAAGCACCAGCCUCUAUCAUUUCUUCAAUUUCCUCCUUGCAUGGUGGGUCUGCCACUGCUGGGACAGAUUUUGCAACCUCUUUGGGCACCCAUGAUACUGCCGCUAUCAUUCUUCAGUUCACAGCUACUAAUCAAUGGCGGCGCGCAG